ACAAUGAAGAGUUUGAUCCUGGCUCAGGAUGAACGCUAGCUACAGGCUUAACACAUGCAAGUCGAGGGGCAUCAGGAAGAAAGCUUGCUUUCUUUGCUGGCGACCGGCGCACGGGUGAGUAACACGUAUCCAACCUGCCCUUUACUCGGGGAUAGCCUUUCGAAAGAAAGAUUAAUACCCGAUAGCAUAAUGAUUCCGCAUGGUUUCAUUAUUAAAGGAUUCCGGUAAAGGAUGGGGAUGCGUUCCAUUAGGUUGUUGGUGAGGUAACGGCUCACCAAGCCUUCGAUGGAUAGGGGUUCUGAGAGGAAGGUCCCCCACAUUGGAACUGAGACACGGUCCAAACUCCUACGGGAGGCAGCAGUGAGGAAUAUUGGUCAAUGGGCGCUAGCCUGAACCAGCCAAGUAGCGUGAAGGAUGAAGGCUCUAUGGGUCGUAAACUUCUUUUAUAUAAGAAUAAAGUGCAGUAUGUAUACUGUUUUGUAUGUAUUAUAUGAAUAAGGAUCGGCUAACUCCGUGCCAGCAGCCGCGGUAAUACGGAGGAUCCGAGCGUUAUCCGGAUUUAUUGGGUUUAAAGGGAGCGUAGGUGGACUGGUAAGUCAGUUGUGAAAGUUUGCGGCUCAACCGUAAAAUUGCAGUUGAUACUGUCAGUCUUGAGUACAGUAGAGGUGGGCGGAAUUCGUGGUGUAGCGGUGAAAUGCUUAGAUAUCACGAAGAACUCCGAUUGCGAAGGCAGCUCACUGGACUGCAACUGACACUGAUGCUCGAAAGUGUGGGUAUCAAACAGGAUUAGAUACCCUGGUAGUCCACACAGUAAACGAUGAAUACUCGCUGUUUGCGAUAUACAGUAAGCGGCCAAGCGAAAGCAUUAAGUAUUCCACCUGGGGAGUACGCCGGCAACGGUGAAACUCAAAGGAAUUGACGGGGGCCCGCACAAGCGGAGGAACAUGUGGUUUAAUUCGAUGAUACGCGAGGAACCUUACCGGGCUUAAAUUGCAGUGGAAUGAUGUGGAAACAUGUCAGUGAGCAAUCACCGCUGUGAAGGUGCUGCAUGGUUGUCGUCAGCUCGUGCCGUGAGGUGUCGGCUUAAGUGCCAUAACGAGCGCAACCCUUAUCUUCAGUUACUAACAGGUCAUGCUGAGGACUCUGGAGAGACUGCCGUCGUAAGAUGUGAGGAAGGUGGGGAUGACGUCAAAUCAGCACGGCCCUUACGUCCGGGGGCUACACACGUGUUACAAUGGGGGGUACAGAAGGCAGCUAGCGGGUGACCGUAUGCUAAUCCCAAAAGCCUCUCUCAGUUCGGAUCGAAGUCUGCAACCCGACUUCGUGAAGCUGGAUUCGCUAGUAAUCGCGCAUCAGCCACGGCGCGGUGAAUACGUUCCUGGCCUUGUACACACCGCCCGUCAAGCCAUGGGAGCCUUCGGGGUACCUGAAGUACGUAACCGCAAGGAUCGUCCUAGGGUAAAACUGGUGACUGGGGCUAAGUCGUAACAAGGUAGCCGUACCGGAAGGUGCGGCUGGAACACCUCCUUU
This 1530-nucleotide ribosomal RNA is filed under the name Bacteroides fragilis. RNAcentral describes it as "bacterial SSU rRNA". It matches the Rfam family "Bacterial small subunit ribosomal RNA". Lineage: Bacteria; Pseudomonadati; Bacteroidota; Bacteroidia; Bacteroidales; Bacteroidaceae. The record is from RNAcentral.